RNAcentral lists this ribosomal RNA (492 nucleotides) under uncultured bacterium. RNAcentral's name for it is "partial 16S ribosomal RNA". It matches the Rfam family "Bacterial small subunit ribosomal RNA", at positions 29 to 507 of the family's 1533-position model. The record is from RNAcentral.
AGUGAACGCUGGCGGUAGGCCUAACACAUGCAAGUCGAACGGCAGCACCGUAAGAGCUUGCUCUUACGGGUGGCGAGUGGCGGACGGGUGAGGAAUACAUCGGAAUCUACUUUUUCGUGGGGGAUAACGUAGGGAAACUUACGCUAAUACCGCAUACGACCUACGGGUGAAAGCAGGGGAUCUUCUGACCUUGCGCGAUUGAAUGAGCCGAUGUCGGAUUAGCUAGUUGGCUGGGUAAAGGCCCACCAAGGCGACGAUCCGUAGCUGGUCUGAGAGGAGGAUCAGCCACACUGGAACUGAGACACGGCCCAGACUCCGACGGGAGGAAGCAGUGGGGAAUAUUGGACAAUGGGCGAAAGCCUGAUCCAGCCAUACCGCGUGGGGGAAGAAGGCCUUCGGGUUGUAAAGCCCUUUCGUUGGGAAAGAAAAGCAGCAGGUUAAUACCCCGCUGUUCUGACGGUACCCAAAGAAUAAGCACCGGCUAACUUCGUG